Molecule: transfer RNA, 70 nt
Filed under: Propithecus tattersalli (Tattersall's sifaka)
Lineage: Eukaryota; Metazoa; Chordata; Mammalia; Primates; Indriidae
Description: tRNA-Gly
Source: RNAcentral
AUUCUUUUAGUAUUAAYCYAGUACAAUUGACUUCCAAUCAAUUAGUUUCGGCGAAACCCGAAAAAGAAUA